Molecule: non-coding RNA, 270 nt
Organism: Vicia faba (fava bean)
Lineage: Eukaryota; Viridiplantae; Streptophyta; Magnoliopsida; Fabales; Fabaceae
Source: the annotation of a GenBank genome assembly
AUGUCUCCAUCUCAAAGCUUCGCCUUAUUGCUACGAUUUCGUCCAACCUGGAUCUCCUCCGUUAGACGCCAACUCACAUUUCCAUCUCACUCUCCUCCGUGUUGUAGCCAUUGUGAUGCUGUGAGGUUUGUUGAUGAUGAAAAUGAUCAAUUGAAAGUGCAGGGAAGGUUUGUUGAUAAGCAUCCUAAAUUCGAAAUGCACACACGUAAUUAUUUUUUGGACAAGGCAAAUGCAAGUGCAGGUUUUAGAAUGUUGACUGGACUGUUGUAG